GAUGAACGCUGGCGGCGUGCCUAAUACAUGCAAGUCGAGCGAACAGACGAGGAGCUUGCUCCUCUGACGUUAGCGGCGGACGGGUGAGUAACACGUGGAUAACCUACCUAUAAGACUGGGAUAACUUCGGGAAACCGGAGCUAAUACCGGAUAAUAUAUUGAACCGCAUGGUUCAAUAGUUAAAGACGGUUUUGCUGUCACUUAUAGAUGGAUCCGCGCCGCAUUAGCUAGUUGGUAAGGUAACGGCUUACCAAGGCAACGAUGCGUAGCCGACCUGAGAGGGUGAUCGGCCACACUGGAACUGAGACACGGUCCAGACUCCUACGGGAGGCAGCAGUAGGGAAUCUUCCGCAAUGGGCGAAAGCAUGACGGAGCAACGCCGCGUGAGUGAUGAAGGUCUUCGGAUCGUAAAACUCUGUUAUUAGGGAAGAACAAAUGUGUAAGUAACUAUGCACGUCUUGACGGUAACUAAUCAGAAAGCCACGGCUAACUACGUG
Molecule: ribosomal RNA, 497 nt
Filed under: uncultured bacterium
Lineage: Bacteria
Description: partial 16S ribosomal RNA
Rfam family: Bacterial small subunit ribosomal RNA
Source: RNAcentral